RNAcentral lists this long non-coding RNA (598 nucleotides) under Chinchilla lanigera (long-tailed chinchilla). RNAcentral's name for it is "lncRNA (ENSCLAG00000025239.1)". Lineage: Eukaryota; Metazoa; Chordata; Mammalia; Rodentia; Chinchillidae. The record is from RNAcentral.
CAAGAAUUAUUUAAAAUUAUACUAAUUGCUUAAAAUUAAUAUUUUGCUUUUUAAUUUUACGAGGUACUUUUGAAUAUUUUAGGUGGAAAAUAACUUUUGACUUCUUCAAUAAAAAUGAUUUUAAUAAUGUUGUUUUAUAUUUAUCAUAAUUUACAUUUGGAUGAAAAAUACAAAUUUUGUACAUGUUGAGCAUCGUUUAAUGGAUCCUUCAUAUUAUUACCAUCAUUGAACAUAGAUUUUCCUUGAAUGAAAGAAAGACUCCUCAUGUAGCUGCCUUACUUCUUAAUGACUUCCUUCUCUGUCAGUCCCUGUUUAUUCGAAACCUGAAAAGCCAAAAGAUUUUAAAUCUUCCCUUUGGCCAACAUUCUAAAAGGUAAAAGAUUUAUAUGAUCUGAAGAGAAACCAGAGAAUUCAACAUUCUAAUAGGUAACCUUCUUUAUGCUCUAUCAUUUUAAAAACUUAUCUGCACAAAAGAAAACUGGAUGGUCUAAAGUAUAGUAGCUUCCUCACAAGCAGCAAAAAUGCUGCUCCACUGACAGCAUUUUAAAGUUCAGUAAUGACGGACGUACUCACUUUCAUCUAAAUGUAGGAGUAAACA